AUGCUUCUUAUUUGUUACAUGCCUUAUAAAGUUAUCCUCCUUUCUUUCUGAUAGGAAUUCCACAGCACAGACACACAGAUGACCUUUUCAGAAAGUAUCACUUGUUAGUGUGAGGACUCUCCAGGAAUUGGGGAAAUUCAUCCCUUGGAUUCCUAUGGCAUUUUCCUCAGCUUACAGUGAUUUGCGAUUGAACUUGAGAAGAAAAUCAUAUUUUGGGGGUGCUCUACUCAUCUGAAGCUGAAUCUACUGGUGGGGCCUCAUCUCCAGAAAAUGGCUUAUUGGAGUCCAGGUAUUAUGAGGGAACUAUCUUCGACUGGAGAACCCAAAUUUGUAUGGCCGUCUUAGCUUUAUACUU
This 355-nucleotide long non-coding RNA is filed under the name Dasypus novemcinctus (nine-banded armadillo). RNAcentral describes it as "lncRNA (ENSDNOG00000051952.1)". Lineage: Eukaryota; Metazoa; Chordata; Mammalia; Cingulata; Dasypodidae. The record is from RNAcentral.